AAGCACCAUGACAGAGUCCUCUGUAGGUGCCCUUCCUUCUCCUGGAUCGAUUGAUUGUCAAUGAUUUAGACUUCAAUGAAAAGUUCUUUCCCAUGAGGUUCCUUGGGUAGAUCGUUGUUCUUCUUAUUCAACAUAUUUCAUUGUGGACUUUUCUUAAAACAGGAAUUUGCCGGAACAUAGCAUAAGCUUGACAAGAAAAGAGAUGGAAGAUAACUAUUUCCAAAGGCUUGAGACAAAUGAAGCAAAAUAUAGAAGGCUAUACUAUCGGAUCAAUGAUUUACCAGAAGACCAGGUA
Telopea speciosissima is the source of this 295-nucleotide long non-coding RNA. RefSeq lists it as uncharacterized. The transcript has 3 exons. NCBI's taxonomy places the organism in Eukaryota, Viridiplantae, Streptophyta, Magnoliopsida, Proteales, Proteaceae. The record is from RefSeq and is a predicted model, not a curated record.